UGCAAUGGGCAAUGGCCAUCCUCUUGGGGA
RNAcentral lists this non-coding RNA (30 nucleotides) under Mus musculus (house mouse). The record is from RNAcentral. Lineage: Eukaryota; Metazoa; Chordata; Mammalia; Rodentia; Muridae.